Molecule: ribosomal RNA, 689 nt
Filed under: uncultured archaeon
Lineage: Archaea
Description: bacterial SSU rRNA
Rfam family: Archaeal small subunit ribosomal RNA
Source: RNAcentral
GAGUCGAGAGCUUUCGGAGCUCGGCAUACUGCUCAGUAACACGUGGGUAACCUGCCCUGUGCUGGGGGAUAACCUCGGGAAACUGAGAACAAUACCCCAUAGUCCACUACGCCUGGAACGGUGAGUGGAUGAAAGCCCCGGCGGCACAGGAUGGGCCUGCGGCGUAUCAGGUAGUAGGGGGUGUAAAGUACCCUCUAGCCUUCGACGCGUACGGGUUGUGAGAGCAAUAGCCCGGAGAUGGAUUCUGAGACACGAAUCCAGGUCCUACGGGACGCAGCAGUCGCGAAACCUUGACAAUGCGGGAAACCGUGAUCAGGGGACUCCAAGUGCCAGGAGUAAGAUCCUGUGCUUUUCUUCUCUCUUCAAAGGAUUAGGAAUAAGAGGUGGGUAAGGACGGUGCCAGCCGCCGCGGUAAUACCGGCGCCUCGAGUGGUAGUCGAUUUUAUUGGGCCUAAAACGUCCGUCGCCGGUCUGGUGCAUUCGUGGGUAAAUCAACCCGCUCAACGGGUUGAAUUCUGCGAGCACGGCCAGACUAGGGACCGGGAGAGGUGUGGGGUACGCUCGGGGUAGGGGUAAAAUCCUGUCAUCCCGAGCGGACCACCUGUUGCGAAGGCGCCACACUAGAACGGAUCCGACGGUCAGGGACGAAGCCUAGGGGCACGAACCGGAUUAGAUACCCGGGUAGUCCU